UGGGGAAUAUUGCAAAAUGGGGGAAACCCUGAUGCAGCGACGCCGCGUGAAGGAAGAAGUAUCUCGGUAUGUAAACUUCUAUCAGCAGGGAAGAUAGUGACGGUACCUGACUAAGAAGCCCGGCUAACUACGUGCC
RNAcentral lists this ribosomal RNA (136 nucleotides) under uncultured bacterium. RNAcentral describes it as "partial 16S ribosomal RNA". It matches the Rfam family "Bacterial small subunit ribosomal RNA", at positions 355 to 509 of the family's 1533-position model. The record is from RNAcentral.